AGUGAACGCUGGCGGUAGGCCUAACACAUGCAAGUCGAACGGCAGCACAGUAAGAGCUUGCCCUUACGGGUGGCGAGUGGCGGACGGGUGAGGAAUACAUCGGAAUCUACUUUUUCGUGGGGGAUAACGUAGGGAAACUUACGCUAAUACCGCAUACGACCUACGGGUGAAAGCAGGGGAUCUUCGGACCUUGCGCGAUUGAAUGAGCCGAUGUCGGAUUAGCUAGUUGGCGGGGUAAAGGCCCACCAAGGCGACGAUCCGUAGCUGGUCUGAGAGGAUGAUCAGCCACACUGGAACUGAGACACGGUCCAGACUCCUACGGGAGGCAGCAGUGGGGAAUAUUGGACAAUGGGCGCAAGCCUGAUCCAGCCAUACCGCGUGGGUGAAGAAGGCCCUCGGGUUGUAAAGCCCUUUUGUUGGGAAAGAAAAGCAGCAGGUUAAUACCCCGCUGUUCUGACGGUACCCAAAGAAUAAGCACCGGCUAACUUCGUG
RNAcentral lists this ribosomal RNA (492 nucleotides) under uncultured bacterium. Its description in RNAcentral is "partial 16S ribosomal RNA". It matches the Rfam family "Bacterial small subunit ribosomal RNA", at positions 29 to 507 of the family's 1533-position model. The record is from RNAcentral.